AUACGUAGGUGGCAAGCGUUGUCCGGAUUAUUGGGCGUAAAGCGAGUGCAGGCGGUCUUUUAAGUCUGAUGUGAAAGCCUUCGGCUUAACCGAAGAAGGGCAUCGGAAACUGGGAGACUUGAGUGCAGAAGAGGAGAGUGGAACUCCAUGUAUAGCGGUGAAAUGCGUAGAUAUAUGGAAGAACACCAGUGGCGAAGGCGGCUCUCUGGUCUGUAACUGACGCUGAGGCUCGAAAGCGUGGGUAGGC
Molecule: ribosomal RNA, 247 nt
Filed under: uncultured bacterium
Lineage: Bacteria
Description: partial 16S ribosomal RNA
Rfam family: Bacterial small subunit ribosomal RNA
Source: RNAcentral